AAGGGUAUAGCUCAGGGGUAGUGUUUGUGCUUAGCAUGCAUGAGGUCCUGGGUUCAAUUCCCAGCACCUCCA
This 72-nucleotide transfer RNA is filed under the name Camelus bactrianus (Bactrian camel). It matches the Rfam family "tRNA". From Rfam's summary of the family: Transfer RNA (tRNA) molecules are approximately 80 nucleotides in length. The record is from Rfam by way of RNAcentral. Lineage: Eukaryota; Metazoa; Chordata; Mammalia; Artiodactyla; Camelidae. RNAcentral also lists the same sequence under 2 other names.